GCCUGGGUAACAUGAGUGAAACUCCGUCUCAAAAAAAACAAACAAACAAAAAAAAGAUUUUCAACACAAGGUGACUCUUGGACUGGCGUUGUACCGCCUUAGGACAAACUGAAGGGCUGAGGAGAAAGUAUUGGGACCCCAACAGGCCUUUCUUGGAAUCCAGUCUGAAAGUUAAAAAACACUCUCAGCCCUUAGCUCACACAGAUGACUGCACAGAAUUGAGAGGGCUCCCACAAUGUGCCUUGAAGUUUCCAUCAGUGUCCUUGGUUCAGACCUUUGGGAAUGUUGUGGUUCUGAAAACAAAGGUGCAUCCCACAAUUCUCCAGUGGCAUCUGCCUGUGGAUACCCUAUUUCACAGCUGUCAGCAUCAUGUCAUUCCAAGGCCGUCUGGAGGUCAUCUCUAGCUCCGUUUCCCAUCCAAACCCACACUGUAGAUUCUUGCUGGUAAAUGUGUUUAAAAGUUCACUCCAGAACAUCUCUCUGUGACAGCCCAGGUAAGCUCUAAAAUGAGAGGGCUGGAGAAGCUGAGGCAGAACCUGUGUCAUGGGACACAUGCCCUUUGGCCAUGCAAGAUUCACUGUCCUGUAACCAUAGCUCUGUACCAACCUCCACAGAAGUCUCGAAACCCAACACUGGUACCACAGAGACAUGCCCUACCAUGUCCCAGCUACAGGACAUAGACGAGAUCAGGCAUGUUCAGGGUGGUAUGGCCAUAGACUGCAGGACACAAUCAGACUUCUUACUUUCCCUAGCUGGCCCACCCCAGAUUUUCUGGCACAUUCCACCUGGCUUGGGCCCCGACAGUGACGAGGCCCUCUGCUCUCUUCAGUGUCAUGUGUGCUGCUGCAGGGCUGGUUUUGUAGCCUCGCCUCCAAGGCCAGCACUUAUGCUUCAUGGAACUCCAGCCUGUGGUGUACGGGAAGUCACCAUGUCAGAGAAGCGCCACCGGCCAUGGAGGCGACUUGCUUCAUGUCACUCCCAGAACACAGGGUUAACUGAACUCCCAAGAAACUGUUCUGACACCACCGAAGAGUUCCUCCUUUGCUGAGCUGUGCAGCCAUGAGAUGGGGGGUUUUACCACGUUGCCCAGGCUGGUCUCAAACUCCUGACCUCAAGCAAUCUGGCCGCCUCAGCCUACCAAAGUCCGGGGAUUAGAGGCAUGAGCCACUUCACCAUCUAGGAGGAGACUUGAGACUGGGACCUUUUGUCACCAAAGUAGAAAUUCCAGGUGCUCGGGAGGACAUAGGCAGAGGACGCAGAGGAGUGAGCACAGCUGCACCUGGUGAGUCCUGAGGGAGUGAUGCUGUGUAAGAAGAAAGUACAUUCAAGGUCUGGGUGGAUUCCAGGGAUUGAAUUCAAUGGUUCUUUCAGAGGUGAGAGCUGUCCCUGGGUCUCCUAGUAUCAACAAGAUCCCAAAUCCUCAAGAGUGACGACCCCAACUCUUGUUCACACAUCAGGGUUUCAGUUGUGCAGAAUUCCCUUAACACAGUCUCCAAUAUACAUAGAUACCUGUAUAUGUCACGUGCUGUAUAUAACAUGUACAUACUGGCGAAAGAUUCAGUCCUUGACCAAGCUGGGAUUACAGGCAUGCACCACCAUUACUGGCCAAUUUUGUACAGGUGUGAGCCACCGUGACCCGCUACAUUAAUUAUUUUUCCCUUUUUUUUUUUUUUUUUUU
Cebus imitator (Panamanian white-faced capuchin) is the source of this 1678-nucleotide long non-coding RNA. RefSeq lists it as uncharacterized. The transcript is spliced from 2 exons. The record is from RefSeq and is a predicted model, not a curated record. NCBI's taxonomy places the organism in Eukaryota, Metazoa, Chordata, Mammalia, Primates, Cebidae.